Molecule: ribosomal RNA, 468 nt
Filed under: uncultured bacterium
Lineage: Bacteria
Description: partial 16S ribosomal RNA
Rfam family: Bacterial small subunit ribosomal RNA
Source: RNAcentral
GACGAACGCUGGCGGCGUGCUUAACACAUGCAAGUCGAACGGAAAGACCCUGCUUUUGUGGGGUGCUCGAGUGGCGAACGGGUGAGUAACACGUGAGUAACCUGCCCUUGACUUUGGGAUAACUUCAGGAAACUGGGGCUAAUACCGGAUAGGAGCUCCUGCUGCAUGGUGGGGGUUGGAAAGUUUCGGCGGUUGGGGAUGGACUCGCGGCUUAUCAGCUUGUUGGUGGGGUAGUGGCUUACCAAGGCUUUGACGGGUAGCCGGCCUGAGAGGGUGACCGGCCACAUUGGGACUGAGAUACGGCCCAGACUCCUACGGGAGGCAGCAGUGGGGAAUAUUGCACAAUGGGCGGAAGCCUGAUGCAGCAACGCCGCGUGCGGGAUGACGGCCUUCGGGUUGUAAACCGCUUUCGCCUGCGACGAAGCGUGAGUGACGGUAAUGGGUAAAGAAGCACCGGCUAACUACGUG